GAUGAACGCUGGCGGCGUGCCUAAUACAUGCAAGUCGAACGAAACUUCUUUAUCACCGAGUGCUUGCACUCACCGAUAAAGAGUUGAGUGGCGAACGGGUGAGUAACACGUGGGCAACCUGCCCAAAAGAGGGGGAUAACACUUGGAAACAGGUGCUAAUACCGCAUAACCAUAGUUACGCAUUGGUAACUUGGUAAAAGGUGGCUAUACUACCGCUUUGGGAUGGGCCCGCGGCGCAUUAGCUAGUUGGUAGGGUAAAGGCUUACCAAGGCAAUGAUGCGUAGCCGAAUUGAGAGGUUGAUCGGCCACAUUGGGACUGAGACACGGCCCAAACUCCUACGGGAGGCAGCAGUAGGGAAUCUUCCACAAUGGGCGAAAGCCUGAUGGAGCAACGCCGCGUGGGUGAAGAAGGUCUUCGGAUCGUAAAACCCUGUUGUUAGAGAAGAAAGUGCGUGAGAGUAACUGUUCACGUUUCGACGGUAUCUAACCAGAAAGCCACGGCUAACUACGUG
This 512-nucleotide ribosomal RNA is filed under the name uncultured bacterium. RNAcentral describes it as "partial 16S ribosomal RNA". It matches the Rfam family "Bacterial small subunit ribosomal RNA", at positions 28 to 507 of the family's 1533-position model. The record is from RNAcentral.